Molecule: long non-coding RNA, 1971 nt
Filed under: Mus caroli (Ryukyu mouse)
Lineage: Eukaryota; Metazoa; Chordata; Mammalia; Rodentia; Muridae
Description: predicted gene 43061 (MGP_CAROLIEiJ_G0034517.1)
Source: RNAcentral
UUUUCUUUUUUUUUUUUCUUUUUCUUUCCUGAGACAGGGUUUCUCUGUGUAGCCCUGGCUGUCCUGGAACUCACUUUUGUAGACCAGGCUGGCCUCGAAUUCAGAAAUCCGCCUGCCUCCGCCUCCCGAGUGCUGGGAUUAAAGGCGUGCGCCACCAUGCCCGGCGCGGCGGGAGGGGGUGGGGGGUGGGCUCUCAUCUUUUAUUACUCUUAUUUUUGAUCCAUUAGUAAGUUAGGAUAGUCCACUCAUAUAAAGCCCUUGGGUAGAGAAUGGCUGUGUUUAAAUAUCAGGAACGAAUACUGAAAGGGAAUUGCAAAGUGCUUCUGAGGUUUCUCAUUUCUUUCAGACAUUUUCCUAAUAAUAUGUGUCUUCCAUGUCUUUUGACAUUUCCAGUUUACUUGAAUUAAUAUUAUGUUCUUAAAUAUAAAUAAAGUCUUGAGGAUUCUGUUAUUUUCCCUUAUUAGAGUUGGAGGUCUCCAUGGCAGCAAAGAACAGUAAAUAGUAGGACAGUCUUGUUUUGUUUUGCUGAGAUAGGUUUUUACAUAUCCCUGGCUGGCUGUAAAGUCACUGAGGUCCUCUUUCUGCCUCCUGAGAUACGAUAGAAGCCAUGUGCCACCAAGACUUGCCUUUGUGAGAGCUUUAAAUGAUGUUUUGAUAGCUUAAGAGUUAUUUGAAACCACUGACUUCUCUGAUUCUUCCACUCUAUUACAGUUUCUUGAUAGUUUUCUCCUCUUUUUGCUAAGCGAAUGGUAAUAGUGCUGAGAGUAUUAGAGUAUAGAAUAGAAUAGAAUAAUUGUUGGAAUGUAAGUUAAAUUGUAUUUGUAAGUUACCUUAUAAUUAGCAGAUUGCUUUCUUGGGCAAUGUGUUUUGAUGCUUGAAAUCACUUGAUAGAAUAUGUAAUAUUGCUAUUUAUAAGGAAAAAGUGGUGAGUCAUUUUCUUAUGCAUGUAGUAAUUGGAAGUUGAUUCAUACUGUUGCUUAUAAAUUUACACUCUUCAUUAUCUAUAGCAACACCAAAAAGAUGGUUAGAGAUUACCUGAAAAGUUAGUUUUGUCGUAGUUUCUAGUAUGUUUGCCAGAUUGUUCUGCUGUCACCUCUAAUUAUCCCUGUUUUCAUGGUUUCAAAAAUAUAACAUUGGCAUCAUUUUCUAUUUUCUUCUAUUCUGACUCCUGUGUCUUACUCUGGACAUUUUUUUGGUACAUAAAAUAUGUGGCCUUUUAUGCCUGCCCUUUCUUCACUUAGUCUAUAGGUAUGUCUAUUAUAACUUAAUUACUUCUAUGGCUGCAUACUAUUUCAUUGCAUAGAAUUCUCUUUCUUUUUUCUUCUUUUGAAGAUAGGGACUUGAAGUAUAGUCUGGUUUAGAAUCCACUGUGUAGCUCAGGCUGGCUCAGAUUAAUUUUGUACUUCACUCUCACUUGGUAGGAUUGCAGGCAUGUACCCCAAGCCUGUCUCUGACUUUGUGUCUAUGGUAAUAGUGCUGAGAGUGUUAGACCACACUAUGUGUGUGUUCAUGUAUUAGUUGAUGGCUAUUUCAAUUUCUACUUUUUGCCUGUAAGGAAAUAAUAGUAAUAUGAGCUUCUCUCUCCGUUAACUUGCUACCCUUUAAAGCACCUCCUCAUGUUGUGCUGACCCCCAACCAUAACUGAAAUUUUGCUAGUUAUGAAUCUUAAUUUAAAUACCUGAUAUCCAGAAUAUCUGAUAGGCAACCAUUAUGAAAUGUCAUUUAACCCCCAAAGGGCUCACGGCCCACAGUUUGAGAACCACUGGUCUAUAACCAAUUUUUUUGUGUAAGUUAUUUCUCUAAGAUAAAGGUAAAAAUAUACCUGAAUAGGACAAAACAAAUGAACAGGGAAACAAACUAAACAAAACAAGAACCAAGGAAUAACCACAAAUACAUACAGAUGGAGAGGCACACAUAGUCACACCUUUUUUUGUUUUUUUUUUUUUAAAAACUCAGAGAAAACAUGAUAUC